Molecule: long non-coding RNA, 780 nt
Organism: Oncorhynchus tshawytscha (Chinook salmon)
Lineage: Eukaryota; Metazoa; Chordata; Actinopteri; Salmoniformes; Salmonidae
Source: Ensembl
AGAGACAGAGACAUGGACAGAGAUGGGGACAGGGACAGAGACAUGGACAGGGACAGAGACAUGGACAGAGACAGGGGACAGGGACAGAGACAUGGACAGAGACAGAAAUGGACAGAGACGGGGACAGAGACAUGGACAGAGACAGGGACAGAGACAGAGACAUGAACAGAGACAGAGACAUGGACAGAGACAGGAACAGAGACAUGGACAGAGACAGGGACAUGGACAGAGACAUGGACAGAGACAGAGACAGAGACAUGGACAGAGACAUGGAAAGGGACAGAGACAGGGACAGAGACAGGGACAGAGACAUGGACAGAGACAGGGACAGAGACAGGGACAGAGACAUGGACAGAGACAGAGAAAUGGACAGAGACAGAGACAGAGACAUGGACAGAGAUGGGGACAGGGACAGAGACAUGGACAGGGACAGAGACAUGGACAGAGACAGGGGACAGGGACAGAGACAUGGACAGAGACAGAAAUGGACAGAGACAGAGACAUGGACAGGGACAGAGACAGAGACAUGAACAGAGACAGGGACAGGGACAGAGACAUGGACAGAGACAGGGACAGAGACAGAGACAUGGACAGAGACAGAGACAUGGACAGAGACAUGGAAAGGGACAGAGACAGAGACAGAGACAGGGACAGAGACAGGGACAGAGACAUGGACAGAGACAUGGACAGGGACAGAGACAUGGACAGAGACAGAGACAUGGACAGAGACAUGGACAGAGACAGGGACAGAGACGGGGACAGAGACGGGGACAGAGACAG